This 1056-nucleotide small RNA is filed under the name Pongo abelii (Sumatran orangutan). RNAcentral describes it as "retained intron". Lineage: Eukaryota; Metazoa; Chordata; Mammalia; Primates; Hominidae. The record is from RNAcentral.
CCGUGUUCCUCUCCCCGCCCCCGCCCCGUGGGCGCGAGAGGAGGCGGGGGGCUCCUUGUGCACCAGAGACGCAGCUGCCUUGUUCGCCCGGUGGGGUGUGGGUCCUCCGAGCGGUGCUGGGAAGGGGGUUCUCUCCGCCCGCGCGCCCAGGACUCUACCCAGGGCGGAGGUCCCGAGUGGGCCGCCCCCCGCAGCGCCCUGGGUUCGCGGGCCCAGAGGCUGGAGACAGCGGGGAGCUAGGGUCCCUCACCCUCCCCUCGCCGCGUGCCUCCGCAGGAGUCGGGCUCCCCGUUCCCCGCGAUGGCCGCGGGCCGCAGUCGUACGGAGCCGCCGCGCGGACCCCGGGGCGCCCCUCCCUAGCGGGGCGCAGCUCCUUCUUGUUCCCCGCCCGGCCAGCGGGAUGGGGGGCGGCGGGUCGGCCCUGAGGGUCUGCGCCGACCACCGCGGGGGCAUCAACUGGCUGAGCCUGAGCCCCGACGGGCAGCGCCUGCUGACGGGCAGCGAGGACGGCACGGCCCGGCUCUGGAGCACCGCGGACGGCCAGUGCUGCGCGCUCCUGCAAGGUGCCUCGUGCCUCUUUGUGGCCAAUUGUGCUCUUCUGCUGGCAUUUCCUGUUGACGACUAUCACAGUAACAAUAGGGGCUUGUUAAGGGCCAGCGGUGCGGAGAAGUGUGCCGUCGUCACACUAUGUUACCCCACAUACAGACGUGGAAACAGGCUGGGAGUUAAGUAAUUCGCCCAGGUCGCACAGCCAGUGAGGGGUAGAUGGCAGUCUGAGCCCUCUCAUUGCUGUAAACUCUGCCUGCAUGCCUGUUGGUUUCUAUUUGUGUCCUGUACUCACUCAGGAGGUCAGUGUGCCUCGGGUGCACCUUUCCCUGGGCCUGUCCCAUGCACUGUGAGGUCCCUUUCAGCUCUGGCCCUCCUACUGCCCAGGUAGCACACGUAGUCACUUGGAUGAGCCGUGAGGCUUUCUGUUGUGGGUAGUUGUUUAUCACCGCCGGCUUUUCCACCAUCAUCAGUGAACCCUCUGUGGCCUUGCCCAGGCCUUCCAACUUA